CAGCAGCCGCGGUAAUACGUAGGUGGCAAGCGUUGUCCGGAAUUAUUGGGCGUAAAGGGCUCGCAGGCGGUUUCUUAAGUCUGAUGUGAAAGCCCCCGGCUCAACCGGGGAGGGUCAUUGGAAACUGGGAAACUUGAGUGCAGAAGAGGAGAGUGGAAUUCCACGUGUAGCGGUGAAAUACGUAGAGAUGUGGAGGAACACCAGUGGCGAAGGCGACUCUCUGGUCUGUAACUGACGCUGAGGAGCGAAAGCGUGGGGAGCGAACAGGAUUAGAUACCCCGGUAGUCCCUGUCUCUUAUAU
This 301-nucleotide ribosomal RNA is filed under the name uncultured bacterium. Its description in RNAcentral is "partial 16S ribosomal RNA". It matches the Rfam family "Bacterial small subunit ribosomal RNA", at positions 509 to 809 of the family's 1533-position model. The record is from RNAcentral.